Puma concolor (puma) is the source of this 346-nucleotide non-coding RNA. Lineage: Eukaryota; Metazoa; Chordata; Mammalia; Carnivora; Felidae. The record is from RefSeq and is a predicted model, not a curated record.
CUCCUGUCCCAGCACAUAAAGGCAGCACAGAGGCUGCCAUCGCGGGAUGACUUCCCAACCUGGACUCCCCACAGAUGACAGACGUACAUCAGCUGUACAUGGAUAUGUUCUGGGAAAGUAUCGACCGGAGCUUGACCUGAACUCACCCAACAUGUCAGGUUUAAUGGGUACAGUUUCAAUGUGGAGGAUGUAAGUUCAGGAGACGGCUGGCGACCGUGCACCAGUGGGAACGCACCUGACCCUACCGAACUGUACACUUAAAAUUGUUAAAAUGGACAGUGUGGAAAAUAGAGAUACCGGCAAAAACAGGAAGACAGACCACUGUGCAGGAGGAAAUCCAAAUCUU